GGCUCAGGAUGAACGCUAGCUACAGGCUUAACACAUGCAAGUCGAGGGGCAGCGGGAUUGAAGCUUGCUUCAAUUGCCGGCGACCGGCGCACGGGUGAGUAACGCGUAUCCAACCUUCCGUACACUCAGGGAUAGCCUUUCGAAAGAAAGAUUAAUACCUGAUAGUAUCUUAAGCACACAUGUAAUUAAGAUUAAAGAUUUAUCGGUGUACGAUGGGGAUGCGUCCCAUUAGGUAGUAGGCGGGGUAACGGCCCACCUAGCCAACGAUGGAUAGGGGUUCUGAGAGGAAGGUCCCCCACAUUGGAACUGAGACACGGUCCAAACUCCUACGGGAGGCAGCAGUGAGGAAUAUUGGUCAAUGGACGAGAGUCUGAACCAGCCAAGUAGCGUGAAGGAUGAAGGUCCUACGGAUUGUAAACUUCUUUUAUAAGGGAAUAAACCCUCCCACGUGUGGGAGCUUGUAUGUACCUUAUGAAUAAGCAUCGGCUAACUCCGUGCCAGCAGCCGCGGUAAUACGGAGGAUGCGAGCGUUAUCCGGAUUUAUUGGGUUUAAAGGGAGCGCAGACGGGUCGUUAAGUCAGCUGUGAAAGUUUGGGGCUCAACCUUAAAAUUGCAGUUGAUACUGGCGUCCUUGAGUGCGGUUGAGGUGUGCGGAAUUCGUGGUGUAGCGGUGAAAUGCUUAGAUAUCACGAAGAACUCCGAUUGCGAAGGCAGCACACUAAUCCGUAACUGACGUUCAUGCUCGAAAGUGUGGGUAUCAAACAGGAUUAGAUACCCUGGUAGUCCACACGGUAAACGAUGGAUACUCGCUGUUGGCGAUAUACUGUCAGCGGCUUAGCGAAAGCGUUAAGUAUCCCACCUGGGGAGUACGCCGGCAACGGUGCAACUCAA
RNAcentral lists this ribosomal RNA (891 nucleotides) under uncultured Bacteroidota bacterium. RNAcentral's name for it is "bacterial SSU rRNA". It matches the Rfam family "Bacterial small subunit ribosomal RNA", at positions 21 to 904 of the family's 1533-position model. Lineage: Bacteria; Pseudomonadati; Bacteroidota. The record is from RNAcentral.